AGCUGGUGGACAAAGGCACAUUAGACAGG
Molecule: non-coding RNA, 29 nt
Filed under: Cricetulus griseus (Chinese hamster)
Lineage: Eukaryota; Metazoa; Chordata; Mammalia; Rodentia; Cricetidae
Source: RNAcentral